This 969-nucleotide long non-coding RNA is filed under the name Homo sapiens (human). RNAcentral's name for it is "non-protein coding lnc-LYRM7-3:1". Lineage: Eukaryota; Metazoa; Chordata; Mammalia; Primates; Hominidae. The record is from RNAcentral.
GAUGAGGAUACACACACACACACACACACACACACACACACACACACACACACACAGUUUGGGUAUCCCUAAUCCAGAAAUUCAAAUGCUCCAAAGUCCAAAACUUUCUGACCCACCAACAUGACUGAUGCUCAAAGGAAAUGGCCACUGGAAGAUUUCAGAUUUUCAGAUUUGGAGUGCUCAACCAGUAAGUAUAUAAUGCAAAUAAUCCAAAAUACAAAAAAAAAAAAAAAGAAAUCUGAAACACUUCUGAUCCCAAGCAUUUCAGAAAACGGAUGUUCAUUUGUGUGUGUGUGUGUGUGUAAGCAGGUGUUGCUAGAAAUUCACUUAUAUACAAGAAAACUUUUUGUGUACAUAUUUGCAUAUAUAUGUACAAAUGGGUAGAAACGAUACAUGAUUAAUCUUAAUCGGGAAGGAAAAGAGAUUUAGGGAAGGAAGCAGUAAGUGAGAACUUUUAUUCUAUUUACUCCUGCACGUUUAAAUAUUGUUUACAGUGAGUAUAUCAACAUGUAAGUGUUAAAAGACAAUAAGCUACUAGUGAUUUUUAAUAUAAAAUUAACUAUAAAAUAUUUUAAAUAUUAGCAAAUAAUAUAGCACACUCAUGAACCUAAUUCCCACAUUUGAUAGUUGUUACAUUUUGCCAUGUUUGUUUAAAGGUCUAAGUCAUAAAAUCUUAUAAAGCUAAACCCCACCCUUCUCUUUCUCCUCUCUCUCCAGGAUAAUUACUGUUUUAUAGUUUGUGGAUAUCAUUCCCUUACUUGUGUUUAUACUUUUACCAAGUGUGUAUGUAUUCAAAAAACAGUUGUUUUGUGAUUUUAAAAUGUAAAUGAAUGGCGUUAUGCUCCAUGUAUUCUGCAACUUUUCAUCAUACAUUAGGUUUUGGCGAUUUAGCCAUAAUUUGGCAUGAAUUCAGGUCUUUUAAGUUUUAUUCCAUUGUAAGAAUAAACAAGUUUGUUCAUUCAUGUCUCC